UUCCUCUUCUUCUUCAUACUUGAGAAAUCAAAAUUCUCUAUUCACCUCUACUUCUUUCUUAUUUUUUCUUCUUCGAGAAACGAAAACCAAAAUCUAUCAUCAUUCUCAUUUUUUUCUCUUCGCCGAUCGACAUUGAAGUAAGCCGUGAGUUCGAGUUCAUCAUCAUUGAUUGAAUAACCCUCUCCAAUCGAGAUCGAUUUCAGUUGAACUGGAUUUGAUUUUAGAAUCUGAAGAUGAAAAUCAAACUAUCAAUCGCCAAGCUAAUGUCGACGCCAACACUCCGAUGAACGUACGUUUGCUUCUUCGCCUUCGCCGUCAGAUCUGAUCGUGUGAGAGGAUGAACAAGAGGAAGAUCGGAAAAAAUUCUCAGAGUUUCGUCUAAGGGUUUCGAAUGGACUUUUCGAGCGGAAGAUCAGAAAAAAUUCUCACGAGAGAAGACAACCACAAGAGAACGGUGGACCCACAUUACGCUUUCGAAUGGACUUUGCUGUUUGGGCCCUUUUUGCUUC
Molecule: long non-coding RNA, 509 nt
Organism: Arabidopsis thaliana (thale cress)
Lineage: Eukaryota; Viridiplantae; Streptophyta; Magnoliopsida; Brassicales; Brassicaceae
Product: other RNA
Exons: 1
Source: RefSeq